Long non-coding RNA from Perca flavescens (yellow perch), 802 nucleotides. RefSeq lists it as uncharacterized. Lineage: Eukaryota; Metazoa; Chordata; Actinopteri; Perciformes; Percidae. The record is from RefSeq and is a predicted model, not a curated record. The transcript has 5 exons.
CCACCUGUUAGUCAUCAAAUGAGCUGCAGGCGUCAGUCUGAGUCCUGACCUCUGGCUACAUGUUGCAUCUGCUCCUCACUGCUCUUCUGUUUUGCUGAGUCUUCUAAAAAUGUCAACUCCAGUCCUUUACAGGAAGCUGAGAAAGAUGACUGGAUCUCCAUCCGUCUAACCCAGAGACUUUAAACGGGCUGUUGUUCACGAACAAUGCAAUAGUGAUGGGAGACAUUGUUUUGCCACCUUAGUCCAGCAUAGAGGGGCUGAGUGAAUGUGGUCUGGACUCUGUGGAGGAGAGUCAUGGUUUCAGAGACGCUGUAGAAAGACAGAAUACCUGCACUGUGAUCCAGGUACACUCCUACUCUGGAGGACUCAGGGCCUGAGACGGGAGUUUGGACAUUGUUGUAAAAAAAUGUGUAACUGUUGUUGAUACAAUCUAACGCCCAAGAUUUGUCAUUUAGUCCAAAUCUACAUUCAUCCAACCCCCCUGCUCUGCUGAUAAACUUGUACUGCUAAUCAUAAUCUCCACCUCCCAGUAACAAUGUCCAGUCAGACUCUCGCUGACCACCAUAAUCUCACGCUCCAUGGCUUUGGCUCCAUGUUGCCAUUUGGUGAUCUGGUGUGGGUUCCCUUCAGCUACACCCUGCAGGCCUAUUACCUGGUCAGCGCUCUGGCAGCCCUCCUCACACUCAAUCAUAAGGAACCAAGUCACUGAGCAUCUUGCUUUGAUUAAAUAACUGCAGUUGUUGUCUUUCGUUUUUGUUACGUUAUCUUGAGGACACGUAUAGCUACCAGUGUUGGGAAAGAU